Molecule: long non-coding RNA, 6031 nt
Organism: Frieseomelitta varia
Lineage: Eukaryota; Metazoa; Arthropoda; Insecta; Hymenoptera; Apidae
Exons: 12
Source: RefSeq, a predicted model, not a curated record
UGUAGACAUCGGGAUAUCCUGGUCUAGCACAUCCUGAUCCGAAAGACGUGACACCUGCCAAUUGCCACACUCCGUCUGCGCGGCGACAUUGCAAUGGCCCUCCAGAAUCACCCUUAAAAAACAUAUGAACUUAAUAAUCGCAAAAGGAAAGACAUUGAGCAUGGUAUGUGAUAAAUAAUUGAAACAGAUUAUUAAAACUUAAGAGUGAAAAUUUCGUGGAAUAAAUAGCAAUUCUGUAAAAAAAAAAAAAAAGGUUGACGAUUCGUCUCGAGUGAGCGUUUGUCGAAUCGAAUACCAAGUUGAAAGCAAUUGUAAUAGGAAGACGCGGAGAUUUCAAUCUAGUUGAGUGGAUUUUGACGACGUUCGCUACGUAUCUUAUGCAACGAUGAAAAUAGCCUUACGACUUCGAAUAACCUUAUCAAAGGAUCAUGAAAAUGCUUUUGAAUUCAAACGAAGGAAUCAUUAUUUUCAAAGUAAGAAAUUUGAUGAUUUUGACAAGUUGUUAAUGAAGUCAACGAUAGAUCCUCGAAGGAUUAAAAAACCAGUGAUGAGAUACGAAAAGUAUCUGUACGUAUUCUUAUUUCCCAGUGAGGUGCUUUUUUAAAUCAGAUUCUACACAUUGGAUACGUAGCAUCAAAUUUUUGUACAAAAGUACCGCGAGAUGAAAUGAUAUGAAAUUGAACAUAACUUAAAUUCCAACUUGAGAGGAACUUGGGAGUUAAAGUAAUACGAAAGUUAGUAAUUUACCACGCAACUUCCGGUCGAACCAUCAGUGUGACCAGCACAAAGAUGGCCGCGUCGGAGCGGUACUGAUUUUCCAUAAGCUUUCAUACAUAUUUCAAGAUCUAGCAAUGGCACUGAGGCUUCCAAAAGUGCAGUGGAAAGUGACUGAGAGGGGCCGUAUCGACCCCAGCCAGAAGCAACGCAUUGUCCAUUCUUGAGCUCCUCUUCCGGCUCCGGUAGUCUUGCCGAGCCACGUCCACCAGAGUCUAAUUCCCAUUCGCCGACCACCGCCGUCCAUAAUGCACCGAUUGACACCCUAUACCGAUAAUCUACUGAUAAUCUCAAAACUGGUUGCUAAGCUCUUAUAGUUGGAAUGAAAAGUGAGACCCACUUAUGAAUGCAAUGAGCAGCUGUGACGACCCAAGUGGGCUCAAUGAGAACACCGCCGCACCAGUGACCGAUAAAUCCUAACUUUGGAUGGAGGAGCUGCAGGGACACUUGCCAGGGCCAAGAGCCUCGUUUGCUCGGCUUUCCGUUGAAUAUCCGACCUGUCGUUCUUCCGGCGUCCUUUCCCUCCGCCACGGAGGAGGAAGUGACAUUUUUCACCGAUAGAAUCGCACGUGGCUGCCUAUGCGACGCUGCUGGACAUCCGCACGCUGUUAUUCAAAAACUCAAGUUUCCCGAUUCGAUGAUUUUUCUUUUUUAAGAUCUACUAUAUCUGACACAAAUGAAAUCUGAUAGAAACUAUAUUGGACGUUUAAUUCAAGAAAUAAAGAUGAUCUUUCAAAAGUUAAGAGAGCUUAAGAAGCUUCGAAAAAAAUUUGCAAUAAUUAGACAGACUUAAAUGAUUUUUAACUUGCGAAAGAAAGACGUCUAAGACUGUGAUCUAAUUGUGUCUAAAAGUGCACAUUCAUUGCAAGAUAAAAGUGACCUUUUCUCUAAUCGCGGAAGAUCUUACCAAAAAAUGAUUUUCCUGCACGAUCCUCAGGAUCGUGCAAUCAACAUCCGCGAGAAUGAAGAAAAGUACCGCCAGGCCACCGCGGAGAUUCAUUUCCAAGAAGAGACGCACACCAUGUACACAACUGUCUUCUGUCAACCCCGUACACUUUUACUAGCUCAUACUCUUCAUACUCCUUUAACAUUUAACUUUUACAAUGUACGCAAAUUCAAACUUCUCGUCUUUGAUUAAUCAAUUUUUAUCAUUUCUCGGUAACAUCGCGACGAUAUCGAACAGACACGCAUAUUUGGAGAAAAAAAGGAUGAAGGAAAUGCUUCAACGAAGACGUAUUUAUAAAAAUUUGCAAUAUUUGACGGAGGCAAGUAGCAACAGCACGAGUAAUCCUUGUGGCGGAUCGUUCACUAGAACGAGUAAAUCCUUCGAAGGAACUCACUUGGAAGAAAGUGAUCGUUGACGAUUCCCAUCGAAGAAGGGGGAUAUACUUACGAUCGCGACGAACCAGUGAAAACUGGCAGCUCUUAAACAGACGAAUAUCGCUCUCACUAACGAAAGUUACCUCUCUGCCGUCACUAUUUACUUAUCUUUCUCGUUCUUCUCAUACCAAUUAGAAACGUCCAUUUUUACGAAUCAUUACGUGCAGUAAAGUCCUCUGACCAGUGGGUUCCGUUUUUAUAAUACUAGUUAUUUAAUUCUCAGUUAGAAUAGAAACAUUUUUCAGUAAAAUUCAAUGAUUCUGUAUUUGAAAAAAGAAAGUCUUCAUGGAGGGGAAAAGAGGUGAAGUUUGAUGUUGAAAUUUUGAAAAAGACACUGUUUCGACUCUAUUCUCAUUCUAAUUAAUGAGAUGACCAGCGAUUGUAAUUCAAAUUUAAUUCUAUUCAGCCUGAUCGUAAUAAGUCAGACUCAACUUCAACGCGAUAUUUAAUUUAGUACUAAUUUUAAUUUCAUCUUAGACUUGAUACAUAUACUAUCUAAAAGAAACGAUAGAUUUGGGAUUGAAUAUUCAAGUUCCAAAUUAAAGAAUGAAAAUGUUUUCACAGCCUACUCUGGAUCUAGAAAGCUGAGACUUCUGUUAAAGAUGCUUUCUGUUACAGAUCUCCCUUUCAAUCUGUAACAUAUAAUCCGUUAUGAAUCAUUUAGUCGUAGUUUCUCGUAAUUACGCAUCAUCGAGGCAAAAAAAAGAACAAACGUUCUUUCUUUUUUUCUGCUUUUUUUUUGGGCUGACGUCAAAUUACCCGAUGCAGUAGCGUGAUUAUCAGCAAACUUGUUAAUCAUUCUUUCGCGAAGAACGGGUUCUCGCUGAGAAACACACGUACAGCUUGACUAGAUGAAAAAUAGAAGAAGAUAUCAGUUGAGCAACGCUGAGCAGCGAAGCUAGAGGACUCUUCAAAAAUUAAAUCAAGACAGGAAAAAGAGUUCAAAUUUUCUAGAGACGACAUUGAUGCCUUGGAAACAUACAGUUGCUAUAUUUGUUGAAAUAUACGUGACUCAAUAAUCUUGUAGAGUUGCUGUUAUCGAGGCCAUUUCCACAGCGCCAGCGAGGAAAGCGAGGAGGAAUGCAAUGUGAUGUCGAGAUAACUAUUUACAAGUUGAACACGUUUCGCGAGAACAUUUUUUUCACGCUGCUAAUUCGUUCGAUGGCAAUUUUCUAGUGUCAUAAAUUACGAAAUUCCACAAUGAGCGAGUUUUGGUUGAAACAAGACAAGAAGAAUGUGAACGAGAUUUCCUCUUUUCUCGAAAGAAAGCGACCCGAGUUAAUAGUAAAUAAAUACAGGAAGUGUUGUAUUGCACAAACAUAAGAAAUUAGAGAGAAGAAAGAAUCGCCAAGGGAAGAUGGAUUUGUGAAAUAGUGCAAGAGAACGCAUCAAGAUCAAGUUGUUUGUAUUUUCAGUAUCAAUCAGCUAUGACGUUGGUAUACGUCGCUGUACUAUUGGUGUGUAUAAGUGUGUAUUUUUAUAUAGCAAUGCAUCGUGAGUAAGCAAAUUAGCCUAAUUGAUACUGCGUUUCUCUCGAGAUCAAGCAGACUCGGGUGAAUCGUAGUUACAUGUAUACAUGUACAAUUAAUAAGCGUGCUGAACGUGUAAAAAGACGGAAUAGAUUGAAUCCAUAUAGGAGAUAAAAAUCGCUACAAAGUAUCUUAUAAAAUGUAAUUGACAAUACAAUGAUAUAUAGUCAAUCAGAACGUCUCCUAUUAAGCAAUAAAAAACAAAAAAUUGUACCUGUCAAUGUUGGACGAUUGCAAAUAUACUUUACACAGGUAUACAUACAUACCUAUGUGUUGAUAAAAAAUUUCCAAAGAUGACAAAUGCUCGAAUCUUUUUUCUCUUCGAAGACGUUUCCAAAGAUCGUUUCAACUCGUGGAGAUGCCGAUAAUAAACAUCCGCAAGAAAAUAUCGAAUGAACAUUGACAAAGUUUCUCACCUGUUGCAAUCAUUCAGCAUUUUUUUUUGAAAUUGCGUUUGAUCAUCGAAAGACCAAGCAAAAAGGAAAAAGGAAACGACAAGAAAGAAAAUCGAAAUACCCGCGCGUUCAACUGUGUGUCGUGGAACAACGAACAGUUCGACCUCUCUAUUAAUUCCACUGCAUCAGUAAAUCGGUAUACAAUUGAUCGAUGUGCGUAAGUGAAUAAACGAGUGUAUUUACAAUAUUGAUAGAGACACUAUUUAUAGACGUCGACAAAUUUUAACAAACAGUUUCUCGUGCUCUUUCAGAUUUUAAUCCACGUUUCAAUUACGACUUUAAUCCUCGACGACUAGUGAUUGUAACAGCAUUGCAGGGAAACGAUCACGUUGUAGUUACGAAUCAACGAAUUGCAUAAUAAAGGUAAUCCCAAGCGGACAACGCAAGAAGACGCGAGGAGUCUCAAGGUUUAUUGCUCUUCACAAUUCUUUCCAUUCAAUUCAAAUCCAUCGAAGAUGAGGAAAACCUUCAAAUUUGUAACGCGACAUUUCCCUUUACAGACGAUUGCUUUUUCUUUUUUUAGAACUGUUCUUUAUUGUCUGAUUAUUGUUUCGCUUCGCACAACGUUCCAGCAGUCAAUUCACUUGCCUCUUUCGAAAAAAUUAAAAGCACACGAUCGAAGGGUGGGAGAGAGCAACUUUUCAAGAGAAAUUUUCAUGAUCCGUUUGGGUCGUGAUUAUUUAAAUUAUGCGUGCUCGUCAUUUCUUAUCGUCUCUUCGUCUAGAUACACAUGCGUGCGUAAUCCUAAGAGAUCGUUAUCGUUAGUACGUUGUACAAAGGUAACGAAGCGGAGGAACAUUGUCAAACGAUAUCUCAUUGUCAGCUACAUCCUAAAAAUAUAUAUUCCUUGCGCAAAGCUUCUUUUUCUCUCGUUUCGAAUCCUGUCCUCGUCAAUACAUCGUUUUACGUUUGUACACGAAGCACGCGAAGUACGUUUUAACCCUUUCAUAGGAACGAGAAUUAUCCUUCCAUGUCAAUCAAGAUCUACCCUUGCUACAUGGAUGAAGCAAUAUGAAAAUAUCGAUAUCCCCGUUUUUUUAUAAAAUUAUAUUACAUUUAAAUAUCGUUAAAUAUCGUUUCAAUGAAAUACCUCCAAUGCGAGCAGCGCGUGGUAGCUCGAUCAACUCAAUUUGUAAAAAAAUAAAUAAAUUGACUUUACUAGGGUAAAUUUAUACAUAUACAUACAUACAUAAAUGCAUUCAUACAUACAUACAUACAUAUAUACGUCCUGUUCAAUAUUCGUAUUGAAAUUUUUUUACUUUUUCGUGAAAUUCAAAUUGUGCCUACGAAAGGGUUAAUCUUUCCCACGAUCAAUUACAUUAUACACGAUAUAUUGAUGUUAAUCGGGUCGUGACGCAGUGUAAAAUUUAUCGUAAUACAUAGUCACAAGGAAGAUCGUCGUAUCGUGAGAUAGACUUACACUGCUCAAAACAAUUAUCGUACGAUAUUGGAAUUAACAAAUCUUUGUAAUUACGCCAUUUAAAUUUCAUAAACCUAGAUAUUAAGAAGAAACAAAAUAUACGUAUACGUACGUGUGUAUGUACAUAUUUGUUUACUGUAUAUUAGUCUACGCAAAUGUAAUAAAUGUAUGUAUACGAUAUAUAUGUAUAUGUAUUCGUUUUCCUUACAUUGAUAUAUACAUUACAGUAUUUUAUAAUAUUUUGAUUAAUAGUUUGAUUUGAUUGGUUACAUAGGUUUUGAGCUUGUGUUUCUUGAUGGCGUGUAACGAAUGAUUUGAAAUUGUUCUGAGCAGUGUAUAUAAAAGGGUAAGAUACUGUGACAAUAAAAUAUUCUACAAUAUCUUACUUACAAACAUGUAUUCCGCAUCAAUCGCGUAAUUUUGACGGACAUAUGUGAGCAAUUAAUAUUUUCAUAACACCAAGUAAAAAGUCG